UACAACGGGGUGCGACACGGUGACGUGGGGCGGGAUCCCUGAAAACCGGUACUCAGUUCGGAUCGCAGUCUGCAACUCGACUGCGUGAAGGUGGAGUCGCUAGUAAUCGCGGAUCAGCAACGCCGCGGUGAAUGCGUUCCCGGGCCUUGUACACACCGCCCGUCAAGUCAUGAAAGUGGGCAGCACCCGAAGACGGUGGCCUAACCCUGUGGGGGGAGCCGUCUAAGGUGAGGCUCGUGAUUGGGACUAAGUCGUAACAAGGUACC
Molecule: ribosomal RNA, 266 nt
Filed under: uncultured bacterium
Lineage: Bacteria
Description: partial 16S ribosomal RNA
Rfam family: Bacterial small subunit ribosomal RNA
Source: RNAcentral